Nematostella vectensis (starlet sea anemone) is the source of this 551-nucleotide long non-coding RNA. RefSeq lists it as uncharacterized. The record is from RefSeq and is a predicted model, not a curated record. NCBI's taxonomy places the organism in Eukaryota, Metazoa, Cnidaria, Anthozoa, Actiniaria, Edwardsiidae. The transcript is spliced from 2 exons.
UCUCAUCCGCAAGCUCCUUUAUCUCGCUGUGGUCAUUAGGAUGAAAACGAAUCUAAAAGAGAAGCAAUACCAGGUUACUAGGGGCUAAAAGGUUGUUGAACGCGUAACGCAAUCAUUUCUACUGUCUCACCAAGGUCACGCAUCAGUCGUGCUGGAAAACUACCGCAGACCGGAAAAGCUGUUUGUUUUUCGCGCCCGUGCUCUACAUCCGGGAGCUGAUUGUUGCAUAAGCUAGAGGAAGGUUAGAGGAGUAGAUUGACGUGAAAUACGGCCAGAGUUACCAAAUAAAUAUCUAUUUAUCGAAGUUCGACGAUAGCGCAUCGAGUGUCUUGUCCGCCAUAUUGGAAGAGGAAUGUGGUUCAAGACAACACAAAGAACAAGAAAGCAAAAUUCACUCUUUAGUGUGUUGAUUUUGUAGAGUAGACAAUAAAAACACAAAUCCUUUCUCGUUUUGGUUUGGUUUGGCUUGUAUGGGUUUUAGAUAGCGAAAUAUCCAAUAAAAUGUUGAACCAAGCAAAUUUAUCGUGAAGGCUCUAAUUCCAUCCAUGUAA